GACGAACGCUGGCGGCGUGCUUAACACAUGCAAGUCGAACGGAAAGGCCCUGCUUUUGUGGGGUGCUCGAGUGGCGAACGGGUGAGUAACACGUGAGUAACCUGCACUUGACUUUGGGAUAACUUCAGGAAACUGGGGCUAAUACCGGAUAGGAGCUCCUGCUGCAUGGUGGGGGUUGGAAAGUUUCGGCGGUUGGGGAUGGACUCGCGGGUUAUGAGCUUGUUGGUGGGGUAGUGGCUUACCAAGGCUUUGACGGGUAGCCGGCCUGAGAGGGUGAACGGCCACCAUGGGACUGAGAGACGGCCCAGACGCCUACGGGAGGCAGCAGUGGAGAAUAUUGCACAAUGGGCGGAAGCCUGAUGCAGCAACGCCGCGUGCGGGAUGACGGCCUUCGGGUUGUAAACCGCUUUCGCCUGUGACGAAGCGUGAGUGACGGUAAUGGGUAAAGAAGCACCGGCUAACUACGUG
Molecule: ribosomal RNA, 468 nt
Filed under: uncultured bacterium
Lineage: Bacteria
Description: partial 16S ribosomal RNA
Rfam family: Bacterial small subunit ribosomal RNA
Source: RNAcentral